GGGCAGCCGCGGCCGGGCCCCGAGCGCACCCUCUGUGCCGCCGAGGUCGCGAAGCAGCGGCCUGGCAGGGCCGUUCCUCCCCUCGGGGGGCGGCCAGCCCGCCAUGAGCCACCAGGAUGCUUUCCUUGGAAAGAAGGAAAUGGAAGUGUCCGAAACGACUUCUGUGCGAGGCUGAUCUUGUUUUGUAGGCAUGUUUUUUUCCCGUUAUGCUAAGCACUACGCAGAAAGAAUGGUGUGACAUAAAAACACGCUGCAGGAAUGUUCCCUGAGACAAUGUGGUGCUAAUAGCUGUUUUCCAAGAAAGAGAGCUACGUUUCCUCCUAUUCAUCGUGCCCGCAAGCUCUCUGGGAGGUUUCCUCCUUGUCUGCCGUCCUGGGAUAAUGUGAUUGCAACCACACAUCUUUAUUCCAUGUCUGUUCGUGCUCGAGUGCAGAAAAGCCUUGGGGGCACUGCAGCUCAGGGCUCGUCCGCGACCUCUUUGCAGCUUGUGGCAGACUGAAGGACCCAGUGCAGUAAAAUAAUGAACUCCUUGAAGAAUCAUAGCCAGGAACGAGAACAGUGUUGAAGAUUGCUGCUGGGAAGUCUAACAAGAAGUCAGGGGGGAAGAGAAAUUACCGUGUUCUCUUCCACCGGAAUUUAAAUGAAAUCUGUUUAACUGAAGUCUUAAUUCUUCCCUGCAUUGAAAUGCUGUGAUCUGGAAAGCAGCAAGUUUGUACUUCUAUACUAUUACAUCAAUGAAGAGCUUGAUUUUGUAUGCUUCCUUAUUGAAUAAUCUGCCCUGAUUUAAUUGGAAUUUGGCUGAUGUGAAA
This is a long non-coding RNA of Cygnus olor (mute swan), 809 nucleotides long. RefSeq lists it as uncharacterized. The record is from RefSeq and is a predicted model, not a curated record. Lineage: Eukaryota; Metazoa; Chordata; Aves; Anseriformes; Anatidae. The transcript has 3 exons.